AGAGUUUGAUCCUGGCUCAGGAUGAACGCUAGCGGGAGGCUUAACACAUGCAAGUCGAGGGGUAAGGCUUUCUUCGGAGAGUACACGACCGGCGCACGGGUGCGUAACGCGUAUGCAACUUACCUUCAACUGGGGAAUAGCCCGGGGAAACCCGGAUUAAUACCCCAUAAUAAUCAGAGUUCACAUGGACAUUGAUUAAAGUUUUAACGGUUGAAGAUGGGCAUGCGUGCCAUUAGCUUGUUGGUGAGGUAACGGCUCACCAAGGCCGCGAUGGCUAGGGGGUCUGAGAGGAUGAUCCCCCACACUGGUACUGAGACACGGACCAGACUCCUACGGGAGGCAGCAGUGAGGAAUAUUGGUCAAUGGGCGCAAGCCUGAACCAGCCAUCCCGCGUGAAGGAUGAAGGCCCUAUGGGUCGUAAACUUCUUUUAUAUAGGAAGAACACCCUCUACGUGUAGAGGACUGACUGUACUAUAUGAAUAAGCAUCGGCUAACUCCGUGCCAGCAGCCGCGGUAAUACGGAGGAUGCAAGCGUUAUCCGGAUUCAUUGGGUUUAAAGGGUGCGUAGGCGGAAUAAUAAGUCAGUGGUGAAAUCCUGCAGCUUAACUGUAGAACUGCCAUUGAUACUGUUAUUCUUGAGUAUAGUUGAGGUGGGCGGAAUGUGUCAUGUAGCGGUGAAAUGCUUAGAUAUGACACAGAACACCGAUUGCGAAGGCAGCUCACUAAACUAUCACUGACGCUGAGGCACGAAAGCGUGGGGAGCGAACAGGAUUAGAUACCCUGGUAGUCCACGCCGUAAACUAUGAUAACUCGUUGUCGGCAAUACAUCGUCGGUGACUGAGCGAAAGCAUUAAGUUAUCCACCUGGGGAGUACGAUCGCAAGAUUGAAACUCAAAGGAAUUGACGGGGGCCCGCACAAGCGGAGGAACAUGUGGUUUAAUUCGAUGAUACGCGAGGAACCUUACCUGGGCUUAAAUGCAGAACGACGAUUUCGGAAACGAAUUCUCUCUUCGGAGCGGACUGCAAGGUGCUGCAUGGUUGUCGUCAGCUCGUGCCGUGAGGUGUCGGGUUAAGUCCCAUAACGAGCGCAACCCCUAUUGUUAGUUGCCAGCGGAUAAUGCCGGGGACUCUAACGAGACUGCCACCGUAAGGUGAGAGGAAGGUGGGGAUGACGUCAAAUCAGCACGGCCCUUAUGUCCAGGGCUACACACGUGUUACAAUGGCAGGUACAAAGGGCAGCUACCUAGUGAUAGGAUGCUAAUCUCGAAAGCCUGUCUUAGUUCGGAUCGAAGUCUGCAACUCGACUUCGUGAAGUUGGAUUCGCUAGUAAUCGUAUAUCAGCAAUGAUACGGUGAAUACGUUCCCGGGCCUUGUACACACCGCCCGUCAAGCCAUGGAAGCUGGGGGUGCCUAAAGUCUGCAACCGUAAGGAGCGGCCUAGGGUAAAACUAGUGACUGGGGCUAAGUCGGAACAAGGUA
This 1479-nucleotide ribosomal RNA is filed under the name metagenome. Its description in RNAcentral is "bacterial SSU rRNA". It matches the Rfam family "Bacterial small subunit ribosomal RNA". The record is from RNAcentral.